Molecule: ribosomal RNA, 468 nt
Filed under: uncultured bacterium
Lineage: Bacteria
Description: partial 16S ribosomal RNA
Rfam family: Bacterial small subunit ribosomal RNA
Source: RNAcentral
GACGAACGCUGGCGGCGUGCUUAACACAUGCAAGUCGAACGGAAAGGCCCUGCUUUUGUUGGGUGCUCGAGUGGCGAACGGGUGAGUAACACGUGAGUAACCUGCCCUUGACUUUGGGAUAACUUCAGGAAACUGGGGCUAAUACCGGAUAGGAGCUCCUGCUGCAUGGUGGGGGUUGGAAAGUUUCGGCGGUUGGGGAUGGACUCGCGGCUUAUCAGCUUGUUGGUGGGGUAGUGGCUUACCAAGGCUUUGACGGGUAGCCGGCCUGAGAGGGUGACCGGCCACAUUGGGACUGAGAUACGGCCCAGACUCCGACGGGAGGCAGCAGUGGGGAAUAUUGCACAAUGGGCGGAAGCCUGAUGCAGCAACGCCGCGUGCGGGAUGACGGCCUUCGGGUUGUAAACCGCUUUCGCCUGUGACGAAGCGUGAGUGACGGUAAUGGGUAAAGAAGCACCGGCUAACUACGUG